RNAcentral lists this transfer RNA (73 nucleotides) under Marmota monax (woodchuck). RNAcentral describes it as "tRNA.Ala". It matches the Rfam family "tRNA". Rfam says of the family: Transfer RNA (tRNA) molecules are approximately 80 nucleotides in length. Their secondary structure includes four short double-helical elements and three loops (D, anti-codon, and T loops). Further hydrogen bonds mediate the characteristic L-shaped molecular structure. tRNAs have two regions of fundamental functional importance: the anti-codon, which is responsible for specific mRNA codon recognition, and the 3' end, to which the tRNAs corresponding amino acid is attached (by aminoacyl-tRNA synthetases). tRNAs cope with the degeneracy of the genetic code in two manners: having more than one tRNA (with a specific anti-codon) for a particular amino acid; and 'wobble' base-pairing, i.e. permitting non-standard base-pairing at the 3rd anti-codon position. The record is from RNAcentral. Lineage: Eukaryota; Metazoa; Chordata; Mammalia; Rodentia; Sciuridae.
UGGGGUUGUAGCUCAGUGGUAGAGCUCUCACCUAGCACAUGUGAGGCACUGGGUUUGAUCCUCAGCACCACAA